GACGAACGGAGCGAGCGUUAUUCGGAAUCACUGGGCUUAAAGAGCACGUAGGCGGACUGUCAAGCAUUUUGUGAAAUCCCUCGGCUCAACCGAGGAAUUGCUUGGUGAACUGGCAGUCUUGAGGCAAGUAGAGGUAACCGGAACUCUUGGUGGAGCGGUGGAAUGCGUAGAUAUCAAGAGGAACGCCAGAGGUGAAGACGGGUUACUGGGCUUGUACUGACGCUGAGGUGCGAAAGCGUGGGGAGCGAACGGG
RNAcentral lists this ribosomal RNA (253 nucleotides) under uncultured bacterium. RNAcentral's name for it is "partial 16S ribosomal RNA". It matches the Rfam family "Bacterial small subunit ribosomal RNA", at positions 524 to 776 of the family's 1533-position model. The record is from RNAcentral.